This 462-nucleotide ribosomal RNA is filed under the name uncultured eukaryote. RNAcentral describes it as "partial 18S ribosomal RNA". It matches the Rfam family "Eukaryotic small subunit ribosomal RNA", at positions 592 to 976 of the family's 1831-position model. The record is from RNAcentral.
CAAUAGCGUAUACUAAAGUUGUUGCAGUUAAAAAGCUCGUAGUCUGAUUUCGGGGUGCAAUUUUCUGGCCAGUGUUUUGGUGAUGGGACAAUUCGAUUCGUCGUUUUGGCCUGUUGCCGCCUGGCUGGAUGCACCUCUUUUUUUCCCAUUUAUCUGCGUGCGGGAUUGAUUUCCUGUGCGGUUUAUCGGAUGUUUGGGGCUUUACUUUGAAAAAAUUAGAGUGUUCAAAGCAGGCGUUUUUUUUGCUUGAAUAGAUUAGCAUGGAACAACAGAAGAGGACUUUUGGGCCUGUAUUUUGUUGGCCGGGGUUGGUUGUCACUUGUGGCAGCCUUCGCCGCAGGUCUGAAGUAAUGAUUAAUAGGGAUGGUUGGGGGCAUUGGUAUUUCACAGUCAGAGGUGAAAUUCUUGGAUUUGUGAAAGACGACCGACUGCGAAAGCAUUUGCCAAGGACAUUUUCAUUGA